RNAcentral lists this long non-coding RNA (220 nucleotides) under Rosa chinensis. Its description in RNAcentral is "sRNA RchiOBHm_Chr2g0161061". The record is from RNAcentral. Lineage: Eukaryota; Viridiplantae; Streptophyta; Magnoliopsida; Rosales; Rosaceae.
CCCCGACAGACCUCAGUUUUCCCUAUCUCUUCCCUCCACGUCUCUUCCCACCGCCGAGUCGUCGUUCAGUGGAUUUGCUCCACUGCCGAGUCGCCGGCCACCUCCCACCACCACGUUUUCUGCUCCUAUCAUCAAGAUUCCGUGGAUCGAUUGAGCUCCAAAUUAAAGAACAUUGAAGUGAUCACCGCUCUCGGAGAUUCGGGCCACCGGAAUCCGGGUC